Molecule: long non-coding RNA, 305 nt
Filed under: Citrus sinensis (sweet orange)
Lineage: Eukaryota; Viridiplantae; Streptophyta; Magnoliopsida; Sapindales; Rutaceae
Description: long non-coding RNA (CSIN_LNC004860)
Source: RNAcentral
UUCCAUGGGCGUUUCACCUCGUGGCCGUUCGUGCGAACCAGCUUGUAAGCUCCGGGUCCCGCUAUCUGCUUGACUCUAUAUGGCCCUUCCCAAUUCGGUCCCAGCACUCCUUGAGUCGAAUCUUUGGUGCUCUGAUUCACUCUUCUCAGUACCCAGUCACCGACCCUGAAUUGCCGUAUGUUCACCUUCUGGUUGUAAUACCGAGCAACCCUCUGUUGGUAAAUGACUGAUCGCUCGGCUGCUUGCUCCCUUCUUUCCGUUAGCAGAUCAAGAUUCAAACAUAUCUGCUCGUCGUUCUCCUGCUC